RNAcentral lists this ribosomal RNA (1385 nucleotides) under Staphylococcus aureus. RNAcentral's name for it is "bacterial SSU rRNA". It matches the Rfam family "Bacterial small subunit ribosomal RNA", at positions 65 to 1438 of the family's 1533-position model. Lineage: Bacteria; Bacillati; Bacillota; Bacilli; Caryophanales; Staphylococcaceae. The record is from RNAcentral.
AACGGACGAGAAGCUUGCUUCUCUGAUGUUAGCGGCGGACGGGUGAGUAACACGUGGAUAACCUACCUAUAAGACUGGGAUAACUUCGGGAAACCGGAGCUAAUACCGGAUAAUAUUUUGAACCGCAUGGUUCAAAAGUGAAAGACGGUCUUGCUGUCACUUAUAGAUGGAUCCGCGCUGCAUUAGCUAGUUGGUAAGGUAACGGCUUACCAAGGCAACGAUGCAUAGCCGACCUGAGAGGGUGAUCGGCCACACUGGAACUGAGACACGGUCCAGACUCCUACGGGAGGCAGCAGUAGGGAAUCUUCCGCAAUGGGCGAAAGCCUGACGGAGCAACGCCGCGUGAGUGAUGAAGGUCUUCGGAUCGUAAAACUCUGUUAUUAGGGAAGAACAUAUGUGUAAGUAACUGUGCACAUCUUGACGGUACCUAAUCAGAAAGCCACGGCUAACUACGUGCCAGCAGCCGCGGUAAUACGUAGGUGGCAAGCGUUAUCCGGAAUUAUUGGGCGUAAAGCGCGCGUAGGCGGUUUUUUAAGUCUGAUGUGAAAGCCCACGGCUCAACCGUGGAGGGUCAUUGGAAACUGGAAAACUUGAGUGCAGAAGAGGAAAGUGGAAUUCCAUGUGUAGCGGUGAAAUGCGCAGAGAUAUGGAGGAACACCAGUGGCGAAGGCGACUUUCUGGUCUGUAACUGACGCUGAUGUGCGAAAGCGUGGGGAUCAAACAGGAUUAGAUACCCUGGUAGUCCACGCGUAACGAUGAGUGCUAAGUGUUAGGGGUUUCCGCCCCUUAGUGCUGCAGCUAACGCAUUAAGCACUCCGCCUGGGGAGUACGACCGCAAGGUUGAAACUCAAAGGAAUUGACGGGGACCCGCACAAGCGGUGGAGCAUGUGGUUUAAUUCGAAGCAACGCGAAGAACCUUACCAAAUCUUGACAUCCUUUGACAACUCUAGAGAUAGAGCUUUCCCCUUCGGGGGACAAAGUGACAGGUGGUGCAUGGUUGUCGUCAGCUCGUGUCGUGAGAUGUUGGGUUAAGUCCCGCAACGAGCGCAACCCUUAAGCUUAGUUGCCAUCAUUAAGUUGGGCACUCUAAGUUGACUGCCGGUGACAAACCGGAGGAAGGUGGGGAUGACGUCAAAUCAUCAUGCCCCUUAUGAUUUGGGCUACACACGUGCUACAAUGGACAAUACAAAGGGCAGCGAAACCGCGAGGUCAAGCAAAUCCCAUAAAGUUGUUCUCAGUUCGGAUUGUAGUCUGCAACUCGACUACAUGAAGCUGGAAUCGCUAGUAAUCGUAGAUCAGCAUGCUACGGUGAAUACGUUCCCGGGUCUUGUACACACCGCCCGUCACACCACGAGAGUUUGUAACACCCGAAGCCGGUGGAGUAA